Molecule: ribosomal RNA, 505 nt
Filed under: uncultured bacterium
Lineage: Bacteria
Description: partial 16S ribosomal RNA
Rfam family: Bacterial small subunit ribosomal RNA
Source: RNAcentral
GACGAACGCUGGCGGCGUGCCUAAUACAUGCAAGUAGAACGCACAGUUUAUACCGUAGCUUGCUACACCAUAGACUGCGAGUUGCGAACGGGUGAGUAACGCGUAGGUAACCUGCCUGGUAGCGGGGGAUAACUAUUGGAAACGAUAGCUAAUACCGCAUAAUAUUAAUUAUUGCAUGAUAAUUAAUUGAAAGGUGCAAUUGCACCACUACCAGAUGGACCUGCGUUGUAUUAGCUAGUAGGUGAGGUAACGGCUCACCUAGGCGAAGAUACAUAGCCGACCUGAGAAGGUGAUCGGCCACACUGGGAAUGAGAAACGGCCCAGACUCCUACGGGAGGCAGCAGUAGGGAAUCUUCGGAAAUGGACGAAAGUCUGACCGAGCAAAGCCGCGUGGGUGAAGAAGGUUUUCGGAUCGUAAAGCUCUGUUGUAAGAGAAGAACGGGUGUGAGAGUGGAAAGUUCACACUGUGACGGUAUCUUACCAGAAAGGGACGGCUAACUACGUG